Molecule: ribosomal RNA, 503 nt
Filed under: uncultured bacterium
Lineage: Bacteria
Description: partial 16S ribosomal RNA
Rfam family: Bacterial small subunit ribosomal RNA
Source: RNAcentral
AACGAACGCUGGCGGCACGUUUUAAGCAUGCAAGUCGAAUGGCAGCAGGGGCAACUCUGUGAGAAUGGCGAACGGGUGAGUAACACGUAGGUGAUCUGCCUUGAGGAUGGGGAUAGCCUGUGGAAACACAGGGUAAUACCGAAUGAGCUGACGAGACUUUGGUUUUGUUAGUAAAGGUGCUACGCCACCGCCUGGAGAGGAGCCUGCGGCUGAUUAGCUAGUUGGUGGGGUAAGAGCUUACCAAGGCGACGAUCAGUAGCCGGCCUGAGAGGGUGUACGGCCACACUGGAACUGAGACACGGUCCAGACUCCUACGGGAGGCAGCAGCUAAGAAUCUUCCGCAAUGGGCGAAAGCCUGACGGAGCGAUGCCGCGUGAUCGAUGAAGGUCGAGAGAUUGUAAAGAUCUUUUCUACAUGAGGAAUAAGUCUGGGAGGGAAUGCCCGGAUGAUGACGUUAGUGUAGGAAUAAGCCCCGGCUAAUUACGUGCCAGCCGCCGCAGUAA